GGCGCUGAAGCGUCAUGCUUAUACUCAACCGUCGGGGCAGUUGAGAUGUUCGUUCUGCGUACGCGUGGUCGAUCAUCGUGAGGCCCCGACGAGUAGGAGGGUCGCGGCGGUGAGCGCAGAAGGACUGGGCGUGGGCCCGUCUGGAGCCGCCGUCGGUGCAGAUCUUGGUGGUAGUAGCAAAUACUCCAGCGAGGCCCUGGAGGACUGACGUGGAGAAGGGUUUCGUGUGAACAGCCGUUGCACACGAGUCAGUCGAUCCUAAGCCCUAGGAGAAAUCCGAUGUUGAUGUGGUGUGUUUCAAUUAUUAUUGCGCAUUGCGAUUGAUGUCUAAGUUAGUUUACUUGUGGAUAACCUCUGCUCUACUUCUAUGAAAGUAACAGUGUACACUUCGUAUUUGCUUUGAUGUUACAUUGCGAACAAACAAUAUACUGGUAUCACACCCAUUGGGCGAAAGGGAAUCCGGUUCCUAUUCCGGAACCCGGCAGCGGAACCGUUAAUAAGUCGGGCCCUCGUAAGAGAGUUCGUCGGGGCAACCCAACAUGACCUGGAGACGCCGUCGGGAGAUCCGGGAAGAGUUUUCUUUUCUGUAUGAGCGUUCGAGUUCCCUGGAAUCCUCUAGCAGGGAGAUAGGGUUUGGAACGCGAAGAGCACCGCAGUUGCGGCGGUGUCCGGAUCGUCCCCUCGGACCUUGAAAAUCCAGGAGAGGGCCACGUGGAGGUGUCGCGCCGGUUCGUACCCAUAUCCGCAGCAGUUCCAAGGAGGC
Molecule: ribosomal RNA, 763 nt
Filed under: Leistus spinibarbis
Lineage: Eukaryota; Metazoa; Arthropoda; Insecta; Coleoptera; Carabidae
Description: eukaryotic LSU rRNA
Rfam family: Eukaryotic large subunit ribosomal RNA
Source: RNAcentral